RNAcentral lists this ribosomal RNA (550 nucleotides) under uncultured bacterium. RNAcentral's name for it is "bacterial SSU rRNA". It matches the Rfam family "Bacterial small subunit ribosomal RNA", at positions 777 to 1314 of the family's 1533-position model. The record is from RNAcentral.
AAUAGAUACCCCGGUAGUCCACGCCGUAAACGGUGGGCACUAGGUGUGGGCGACAUUCCACGUCGUCCGUGCCGCAGCUAACGCAUUAAGUGCCCCGCCUGGGGAGUACGGCCGCAAGGCUAAAACUCAAAGGAAUUGACGGGGGGCCCGCACAAGCGGCGGAGCAUGUGGCUUAAUUCGACGCAACGCGAAGAACCUUACCAAGGCUUGACAUACACCGGAAACGUCCAGAGAUGGGCGCCCCCGUUGUGGUCGGUGUACAGGUGGUGCAUGGCUGUCGUCAGCUCGUGUCGUGAGAUGUUGGGUUAAGUCCCGCAACGAGCGCAACCCUUGUCCCGUGUUGCCAGCAGGCCCUUGUGGUGCUGGGGACUCACGGGAGACCGCCGGGGUCAACUCGGAGGAAGGUGGGGACGACGGUCAAGGUCAUCAUGCCCCUUAUGUCUUGGGCUGCACGACGUGCUACAAUGGCCGGUACAAUGAGCUGCGAUACCGUGAGGUGGAGCGAAUCUCAAAAACGCCGGUCUCAGUUCGGAUUGGGGUCUGCUAACCG